AAAAACCCGGGGUUGGGAAGUAACCCAUUUGGAGCUAGCCGUCGAAGGUGGGACAAAUGAUUGGGGUGAAGUCGUAACAAGGUAGCCGUAUCGGAAGGUGCGGCUGGAUCACCUCCUUUCUAAGGAUAAUAUACGGAAUAUCGCUUUUAAGCGAUAAGGGAUAACGGAGACAUAUUGUAUUCAGUUUUGAAUGCUCAUUUUGAGGAUUCAACAUUGUACAUUGAAAACUAGAUAAGUAAGUAUAGAUUUUACCAAGCAAAACCGAGUGACAAGCGAAAAGCUUGAAACAAAAAUUAUCGCUAGUCGUCGACAGACGACUCACAAUAAUUAAUAACUGGUAGAUGUUGGUUAUUGUUUAAUUCGAAAGCCGAAUGUGAACGAUUGCCAAAACAUCCA
Molecule: unclassified non-coding RNA, 396 nt
Filed under: uncultured Staphylococcus sp.
Lineage: Bacteria; Bacillati; Bacillota; Bacilli; Caryophanales; Staphylococcaceae
Description: partial 16S-23S ribosomal RNA intergenic spacer
Rfam family: Bacterial small subunit ribosomal RNA (bases 1-119)
Source: RNAcentral